UUUUUUUUUUUUUUUUUAUGAAAUCAUCUUCAUUAAAUUUGAUCCGGCAAACUUUAAUGCACUGAAUCGAGAUACGACUGCCUAAAAACUUUUCAUAUUAUUUCAAGGGUGACUGUGUACCAAUUCUUGCAGUAUUUCUUUUUUUCUUUUUUUAUGAUCGUAUCAAGUAGUCCAUAUAUUUUCAUUACCAUACAAACAUCUUAUUAUAUGAGGAGUGGAUAUAGCAUAGUCAAUGUACUAAUUACGGAAAAAAUGUUCAUUGAUUAAAAGCAGAAAGUAAACUGCCUACUAUCUUUCUAGGUGUUUAUCAUUAUAAGCAAUUGAUUAAUAAGAAGGGAAAUCAAAGGUUGAUUUUGUUUUUAUUCCUCUUUUUGUGUUUAAUACAGGGAGAAAAUCUAAGGAAUUUAAGCUUGUUGAUCCCCUUAAAAUGUGUAAGAUCGUGACCAAAGACUAAAGAACCAAAGGUAGGUGAACUCCCUUCUCAGUGCUUGUCUUUCAACAUGUUUUUGACUUGGGACAUAAAAUCAGAAAAUUUUGCAUCUCCUCACAUUAUUUACAACACAUAGUAUGCAUAUUAAAUUCCGCCCCAUGCCUUGCCCAAUCAAAAUAGCAAUCAUAAACUAAUGUAUGGUUGUCAUUUUCUACUGUGGUCCAACAGUGUAUCAAUACUUAAUCUCACAUGGGAUUGUGUAACUUCUACUCGUAAUGCCAUGAAACAUCACAUGGAAUACAGAGAGGAAACCAUAGCUCGAUGUUGAAUUAGAUAAACAUAUAUAUUAGGUGUUCUUCAAAUAGGACGAAUUUUUGCACUAAAAAAAGAUGUUGACACUUGUUCCUAGAAAAUAUUAAUACAUAAAUUUUGAAUUUUACAAUUUGUCUUAGAGCAUCAUUGACACUUCCUCACAUUCCAUACCAAUUUCCAAGAUAACAAGAGAAUACCAAAUAUAAAGAUAGGAAAGCAAAAGAAAUUCAAGUAGACUAUCAUAAAACAAACACUUAUCUAUUGAUGUUUUGCCAAUUCUUGAUGCCCUUGACCUUGAGACCAUGAAUUUUGUAGCUUGAUCAACGACGAUUUAACAAACUAUAAGGUCUUGAUCUUGGAAGAUAAACAAUGGAUUCUGAGACUGCACAAGUCCUUUUGCAAGAAGCAUACAUGUUGAUGAAUCCAAAUCGAUCACUUAAACUUGUCUUUGAUGAAACUUUUGAGCCCUUCCACAAAUUACCAAUAACAUUUCCAUCAUGGUGACGAUGGUGAUCAUCCUUGGAACAUUCCACUAAUGCUGCAAAGAAUGGAUCCAUCCUAAAACUUUCACUGGGGUUGUAGAACUUCUUGGGAGAAAUGAUGAUGUCUUCUCUAUUAUGAUGCUUCCUGAAGGAAUUUGAGCUGAAACUUCCAGCUGGUGGCAAUGGGAGAAGGCCUAAAGCAGAUAAACCUUCCUUCUUGGAAAUUUCAUUCUUGGGAAUUCCUGGGAUUUGCUCCCAAGAAAAUGGGACUCCUGAGAAUCUUGCUUGAGGGGUUCUGGGAGGACUGAAUGGGGAAUUAUCAUCAGGGAAAGUUAAUGAUCCAGCAGAGGAUGAAUUGGAUGAAAAUGAUGGUGAUGAAGAUACGGAAGAAUUAGUCCUGCGAGAAGAAGGAAGGAACAAAAGAGUUGAAUAUGGGGUGGUAUGAGCAUCAGUAGGUUCAAUUUGGGCAUGGCUAGCUCCACUAUAUGCUGCUUCAGUAGAAGCCAUUGCUUUUCUGAGCAAGAAGAAAAGUGGUUAAGAAGAGCUUGUAUUAGUCUCUUUUUAGUUACUUCUUGUGGUUUAUAUAGAGAGAAUUUGUGUUUCUUUUGAAUUAAUUUGUCAUUUAUUGAUUAUUAUUGCCACUUUGGUAAAUAAAAAUGUGGGACAACAAAAUUGAAAGCAGAAAGAUAUUGUAAUUUACUAAUCAAAAGAGGACCCCAUGACAUUAUGACAAGGAUGGAGAAAGAAGGGGAAAAAAGAGGACGGAGAAAGAGGGGGGGACUUAGUGGGAAAUAAAAAGUACUGGUUGGGCUGGGGUAUUAUGCAAUGGAUAUUUUGGCAUACUAAGUUACAUACUAUGUAAGACACUAAGAGUCACGAGCUAGGGUUGAUUGAAGUGAAUAAAGCUAUUACUUCCAAAGUAAGUAUUAUUUGUGCCAAAAUAGCACAUCAUCCCAAAAACAAGCAGAUAUAGUUAACUGAAGAUGAAAAUUAAGACAACAGUUUCUUUGUAAUCCUCAUGUUGAACAUACUUGUUACUGACUUAAUUGAGAUUUGGCAAAAAUAAGACGAACUCAUAAGAUUUCUCUGGGCAAAGAUAAGUGUUUAAGUAUCACACAAUUUAGAAUAAGUUGCUAAACAAUUUACCAUAAUUUGGGAAAUCUCAAUUUGAUCCACCAAAUUUAAAGUGAAGCAUCUUGAUUACUAAUGCAUAUGUUUAGGGGGCACUAAGUCGGUUCUCAAUCUUCGUUGCACUCAUCUUAUUACUAGAAAUUAGACAGCCAACUCCAAUGGAUAAUUUCAUCGGUAAAAAAAAAUCACAAGAUUAUAAGAAAUUAAAUUAGGUCCCUAAUUGUUUUAACCUAGAAAAAUUAACAAAUUAAUAUGGGGUCAAGACAAACUCUAGGUAUGCCGAGUAAGGGAGGAAAUUGUCGUUACCCUUCAAAUGUGAGGGACUAAUUCCACAUCUGUAAGAAUGAAAAGGGUUGCUUUGGCAAUUCAUCCCUCAAUUAGUAGCCUAGCUAUUGAAGAAAAACUAAAUUUGGGGGAGUAGUUGUGAUGUAUCACAUGAAGGUGAUGGGAUAUGGUAUACCAUACAUUUGUGUCAUAUCUUUAUUUGGUUAGAUAGCUAAUCCUGUAUUGUUUAUGUUUAGGCAACAUAACCAUAUCUUUACUUACCACUCCCAAUGAAAUAAGUUGAAGAGUAUCCAGUAUUAAAAUGUUCAUGUGUUUCGUUAAGUGUGCGGAUCGGAGUCCAAAGUCAGGCUAGUGCAUCACGUUUUAAAGCUUUUUUAAUUUGCUGUGAAAAGUACUUGUGUGUAGAGCUACCAAAUUUUGUGUAUCAUAUGCAUUUCUGCCGUAACAAGAUUAAUGAUAGCUACUUAUUAAUAUUCUUCUGCAAUAAAGCUAGAGACCUAAUAGGAAGUAAAAGAUGUCAUUGUGUCAGCAGUACCACGGCUGUAGUACCAAAAUCAGAAUAGUUUGUCCUUUCAAUCGCUAGAACAGAAAUGGGAUAAAAUUUCUUCCAAUUGCCUAUGUGUUUAAUUUAGUUAACCGAGGGUCUCAAGAAUCUUAAGCACAAUAAUGAGUUCUUCUAGUUAUUAUAUGUUAGUUUUUUUUUUUUUAGGGGUGCCCUACAGGGAGUGGACCCCAUAGACUAUUCUCCCAUCCUCCGCAAUUUGCUGGUAGCAAGGUUCGAAUCAGGAACCUAAGCCCCAUGUUCAGCAACCCCAGCCACUAGACCAAGCGCCGAAGGGCAUUAUAUGUUAGUUUUCAUGUCACUGUUUAUGUGUUAGUUUCUAAUUUUACUGGGUUAUAAUAUAUGUGUAUUAUUCCUGUUAUUGUGAGUUUUUUUUUUUUUUUGUGAUCUUAUCAAAACAAAAAAAAAGGGAGUAUCAAGAUUUAUGAGUUCUCAUUGACGAGACAAUAUAGAUGUUAUGCAGUAGAUAUAGACACUAACACAGCAAUUUAGUGAAAAAUUUUGAAAGACGAGAGCAAUAAUAGCUCGUUCAAGUUGAAGUGAUUCAAUCAUUCUUACAAUCUCACACAAGAGUAGUGAAAAGACAUGAACAAAAAUGAUUGUAACUAAUAAUUACAUUCCUAAUUGAUAAAAGAUUAACUAAGGCAUGAUUUAAUAAUGAAAAUCAUUUUCUCAAUAUUAGGUAGUCUGUAAAAGUAUAGCAAACACUUCUUAUUUAAUUUGGGGUCUUGAAAUAUUAAUACUAUAAAGUAUUACGGAGACAACUUGGAAUUCAUCAAUUGUCUUGCACCUUGUGGAGGAGAAAUUCAGCCUAAAAGAGAAUGAAUCUAAUUCAUAACUUGAAACCAAUUAUUCAUCACAAGUUUAACUUCCUCAAAUUUUACACCAACAUAAUUGUGUAUGCAUCUGCUAGGAUCCAAUCACGUUAUCAAAAUUGCUUCAGCUUUCAAUUAUAUUACACCAUUUUCAAAAGGGAAGAUCCCAAUUAUGAAUUACUUGCAAUUGCAUCUUACAAUUGUUUUUCUCCAUGUCUAUGUAUCAGUGGUCCAUUAACUUCAUAUGCUUCCAAAAAAUAACUGUACCAGUUUGAAAUAACACCAAGCCUAUUGGCUGAUCGAACUUCAAAAUUGUAGCUGCACCUACCUAAUUCAAUCAUCAAUGGCCGGUUCCUAGCUCCUACCAUUACCAUUUGCCGUCAAAACUAACAUCGAAAUGACAUCACAAUCGUGGUUACUUUGUGCUUUUAAUAAGAAUGACAUUUCUUUCUAAUAUUCAUUAUUUUAUCUAGUUGUCUGCCUUAGCAAUUUAAAUUUCAGAUUAGAAGAAAGAUUCGUUCAAUUUUUUAUAACCAAUGCAUAUAUAAUUUUUAAUUUUUCAUAUAAAGUAAUUCAUCAAAUCUUGAUUAAGGGCGUAGGUUUAAGAUAGUAGAUAUUGGCGCAGUUUAAAUAAAGGAAGUGGGAAAUGGGACAUGAUACUAAAGGAUAAGAAGCUCCAUCCGUACACUUCUCAUAAUUUGAGGCUUUGAUUCUCUCGUAAUUAUUGACACGAUAAGCUCAGAAUUGAGUUAAUUAAUAUGUCAAUUAUUCGACCUAACCGAUGGAAUCACUUGUAAAUUAAUUAGUAAUCUUAUGUUUUGUUUUGAUACAAUAAUUGUAAAUAAACAUACUAUUGUUAACUUUUGAUAAAAGAAACAGUAAACCAUGAAAUGUACAUAUCAAUAUGCCAAAAAGAUAAAAAUAAAUUUGCUCAUUUUGAUUAAAAAGGAUUGAAGCUCAAUGAGCUUAUAGGAGGAUGAAACUUGAAAGAAUUGUUCUGGAAUUACGUCCUUCAAUGUAAUUUAUUUGUACUUUCCCCUUUCAUCAUGCAACAAGUUAAUUGAAAAAAGAAGAAAAACAUAUCGAUUCAGAUUGCAGAUUAUUUUUUGACAUGUUGACUUUUGUGGCCGGAAAAUGAUUUUGCUUAUAUUUGUGGAGCGGAUUUGAGAUGAUUUUUUACAAACUAUGUUGUCUUUUCUGUCAGCAAAGAAGCCGAUUUUACCUCUUUUUUAUUUUAGUGUUUUAUUUUUUGGUUGCCUCCUUCUGGUUCUGCUUUCUUGUUUUUCAACUUUUUUACAGUAAGUAAAUAAUCCUAACAUACUAAAACUUAAUUCUGACUAAUGCAUCUCCUUCUUUCCCAACCACCUAAAAAAGUUUUCAAAAGAAAUUUUCUAAUGUGACCAGUUGACACAUUAGUACACAAUAUUUAUACCUUGGUGUAUUACUUAUAUGCAUAUGUUUAUAUAUAUUGAUUGCCCCUUUCAUUUGGACAAUUUCCUAAUUUAGGUUCAGUAAUUUAAAAAGGAUUUUUUAAUAGGUACCAACUAGACACCCAUUAACACGCCAACGGAUCUUGUGUCCCAUACCCUAUACCAUUCUCUGUCUCACUUUUUAUUAUAUUGUUAUUUCUCCUAUUUAAAUAUCAUGUUUUAGUCCUUUUUUGUUUCUUUAAGAUCCAAUAACUAUUAACUGAGUAAUACAAAAAAUUUAACAAACUCAAAAAAUCAAAAUUCAUAAAAAAUGAGAUUUUUUAUGAAUUUUCUGCUGUAUUUUUUAAUUUUCUAUUAUAUCAAUUGAUUUUUUGAAGCUGUUGUAUUUAUUUUUUAUUCAAUUAAUAGUUAUUAAAUUAAUUAGUUUUUUUUAAAUACUAACACCUCAAACCGCUCUUAACGAGUGUCUCACAAGCACCUGUUAGUAGGGCUGCAAACGAGCCGAGUCGAGUCGAGUUUUGGCCUAAUCGAGUCGAGUCUCGACAUAAUUUCAUUGAACUCGAACUCGAGCUCGACGAGCUCACAAUUUCAAGCUCGAGCUCGACUCGACUUGAUUAGAGCCGAGCUCGAGCUCGAAAAAAACAAAAAAUAAUUAUUUUAUUUUUUAUAAAAUAAAUAAAAUAAAUAUUUUUUUUAAUAAAUAAUAAAAUAUUAAGGAUAUAUAUGUAAUUUUACUAUUAAAAUUUAAAAAAAUAAAAAAUAUAUAUAUACUUAAAAUAAAAAAAUAAUAUAUAUAUAUACUUAAAAUAAUAUAUAUAUAUAUAUAUAUAUAUAUAUACUCGAGCUCACGAGCCGACUCACGAGCCGACUCGCGAGUUAACGAGCUUAAUAUUUUGAACUCGAGUUCGAGCUCGAUUUCGACUCGAGCCGCUCGCGAGCGGCUCGAUUCGUUUGCAGCCCUACCUGUUAGUCAAACCAAUUUAAAAACUAUUCUUGCAACUGUUCUUCAUAAGUGGUUAUAGGUCACAAGACACUCGGACUCGGUAGACCAAUGUUUCCAAAAACUCCAAAUAACUGCUAACCAAUCUUACAUUCUUACCAAAUUAAAUCCCUUUUCCAAUUCAGCAUUUCAACCUUCAAUCAAAAGCUUUCAUUUUUCAUACAUGAGUUUCUAGAUCAAACCACUUACCAAUCUUACCCAAAAGCUCCAAAUAACUGCUAACCAAUCUUACCAAAUUAAAUCCCUCUUCCAAUUCAGCAUUUCAACCUUCAAUCAAAAGCUUCAUUUUUCAUACAUGAAUUUCUAGAUCAAACCACUCUUUGUCGAAUUUCCUUUCCUUCACUUGUGUAAAUCUAAACCACUAAAGCAAUCAUGAGCCUUUUUUUUUUUUUUGAAGCUUAUGAAAGUUUGAAUUCCAAUGGUUUUUCUUCAAUUUCCUAUAUCAUUUAUUUCUUUGUGGGUUACAAUCGGUUCUCUUAGAUUUUCAAUCAGUUUAAUUUCUUUGAUUUCAGCCCAUUCAAUUAAUUUUCAUUCUAUAAAAUCUAGACUUUUCUGGAAAUUCUGCCAGCGGAUGCGUAGGCAUCUGUUUGAGGCGGUAGUAGUUCAGUUCCCUCCGAAUUCCCCUUGAACCUUUAUAAGUCCUCCUCCCCCUAGUAUAGAGUAGGAGUAGGUUUAUAGUAGAUUCUAUCGUGUCCGGGAAAAAAAAUCAGUUAUAUUAAUUUGAUCUUCAUUAUGGCAUGCUCAGCAUAGCAAAAUCGGUUUAGUUCUUCAGUAGUAAAACUCAGUACGCACACCAACCUCCACUGAAAUUAUCUAAAAUAUUAUCUCAAAGGUGAUAUCUUUGGAAUUGCAUCAUUCCUCUCGGGAAUUUUCAUAAUGGCAUCCAUUCCAAUGAUACUAAUCAUAUGAAAAUUGGCAUUUAAAUGCAUACAUUCAUAUUUAUCCGAUUCAAUUUUUUUUUUCCAAAAAGCUACCACCUUAAGCGUCUUAACCAACACAUUGGGCAUUGCCGCAUUGCUAGCCAGAAUCUUUAUUUUAUUAAGAAUUUCAAAACCCUUUCCUUUCUAAAACAUAAUAUAGGAAAAUUAGUAUUUGACCUCCGAUUGAUAAAGAUCAUACAACUAGCUAGUCUACAAGUCUUUGCAGAGAAGGAUUUGCAUCUGAACAAUUCACUAUAUGUUGUUAGGUGUGAUGCAUAAUACUGCAUUUUCCUCAAGAGGGAAAACACAAUCUGUCAUGUGAUACUAUUCCAACUUCCCAGUAUUUGCUAGGGACCCAUGAAAAUAAACUAUCAAGUGAUGUUAUCAUCAAUGUUCUAAAAUUAAAAAGACAAAUUGUGGGCGCAACGAAACUGCUUCAUAUAAUAGCUCAUUCCAUUGACACAUUUAGAAUUUUGAUGGACUUCACAUUUGGCUAACAUAUGGUAUGAAUUAAUCUGAAUAAAUGAGGUAGGAAUUAAUCCCAACUGCCUUUUAGUACCGAAGUAAAUGUUUUGUCAUAGUGUACGAGGCACUGAGUGCUACAUCAAGGCCCAAGGGUGAAGAAGGCCACAUUGGUUAACGUUGAUGGUAAUGCAUGUUAUGAUGGAUUCCAUCAAAACUAGAGUAAGAUGAAAACUAAAAUCUACCAAAUAUUGUCCCCAGAAAAAUGUUGUGAAUCAUGUAUGCAUAAAUAUUCAUUCAUGAAGAAAUACUCAUCUUCUCUUUUGAUUAACUAUGGUAGCCUUCCUCCCCUCCCCCCUGCCCCCCAACCCCCCUCUCUCUUUCUUUUAAUUUUAGUGCAUCAUUUUGCGCAUAUAAAGUUGAGUACGUGUUUUUUUUUUAAUUUUCCCACCCCUCCUCACAAUCUUUCUACCUCCAACUGCCAGGCAAGAUUUUAAAUCCUGACACUGACAACAGAGAAGACUCUAAAAGUUUUCCUUGACCACUGAGUCGAACCCAAUCGUUUUUCAUUGGUAGAAAUAAUAUCCAAAUCUUAAUAAUGAAGUCUUAGGAUGCGUUUGAUAAAAUUGAAAUUUGAAAAUUAAAAUUUGAAAUCUAAAAUUUGAAUUUAUUAAGUUACUAAAUUGUUAAGUACUAAAUCCAAUGCAUUUGAGUAUAUAUUUUAUUAAUUGAUAAAUGAAUAGUUUAUCACUUAUUGUCUGGAGCAAAUUUUACAUAAAAAAUUCAGUGUUACUUAACUAAUUCAAAUGUUUUAUUUUUUUAUUCUCAAAUACGUCUGAAUAUAUUAAGAUUUGAAUUCAUUAAAUUUAAAUGUUGAACUGGAUCAUUUUGCAAGCGUGUGUUUUUCAAUACCUGAGUUUUGGGAGAGAAAUGAGUUGAAUGGUAUAGGGAGAAUAUAAAUGAGAGGUCCCGGAUGCGAGACCUCCCACUUACACUUGAAAAAAAUAAAUAAAUAAACUGGCUUUUGAAGAGAUUAUUUCGGUCUUCAUAAAAUCAAUCGAUCUACUUAGUCCUUAAUGGUACGCAUACACAUGGUUCAUGCUUGAUGAAUGGACAUCAGUUUAAAAUCCUAAUGGCAAUUACUGAAUAAAGAAUCUACACAACAAGGACUAAUUACAUUUGAAAAAACAAAUUAUUAUUAUUUUUUAUAGUAGGAUGCUUAGUUGAUUAUUUGUUGGAACUCAUUUGUCAAUAGUGCAAACCUUUUUUGUCCACAACUCCUUUAUAGCAAAAGUUAGUUAAGAAAUCGAUGGCUUUAAUACAUAAUCCAACCAAAUGAUCCGCUUUGGUAAAUUGAGACAACAAUCUUUAAAUAACUAAUGUUUAGGAUUAUUUUUCUGAAUAAUAUAUUAUCAUGUUACUGAAAUACUGUUCCUUCUUGAAAUCAACUAUGACUCAAUGGACAAUGUAUUUUCAGACACUAAACAAAAAGAACAAGUUUUUCACUCUUGACCAAAAAAAAUAAAAAGAAAAAAGGGAACAAAAGCAUGGAAACACCUUUUUGAUUAGUUUGUUAUUAGCUUGGUUUCUUGAAUUUGAAAAGCAAAUACUCCUUCCGUCCCAAUAUUAGAGUUUUUUUUGAGAAUUCAAUUUUUUGCGGAGACAUGGUAAUCAUUAUGUCUAGAUAAGAUAGCAUUGAUGUAUUUAUAUAUAUAUAUCUUUUGAAUUCAAAAUAUUCUCUUGAUAGAUAUAUAUUGGGAUUUUAAAAAGCGACUUUUUCAAAUGGCAAUAUUGAAAAACAUAUGUUAAAUUUGAAAUGAUAAUUAUUAUUUUGGAACAUCAAUAAAGUGAAAAUAUGACAAUAACAGUGGAAUGGAUGAAGUACAAAAGCACAUGAAAGAUGGAAGCAAUUUUAGUGAAUAGACACAUAAAAUAAUCACUAAAAUUAUGCUAGAAUCUUAAGAUCCUAUAUCACCAAGACACCAAACACAGACCCACUUUGAGGUUUACAAACUAAUGUACUUACUAAUAAUCCUACUAAUUAUGCUAGAAUCAAAUAAAUAUAAUGAUCAUUAAGGCUCUUAGAAUCUUCCCUACUGUUAGGUACGGGAUCAAAUCUUGUGUACCUGACAGUUAGGGGUGAAAAAGUGUAGGAGGGGAUAGGGGGGUAAAAAAAUUUAUUUAUGGUAACAUUCUUUUCGUCACAUCAGGAAAUAAUGAAAUUCCUAAUUCACCCUUGGCGAUGACGCAAAAUUCACAUAAAGUCGUGGUUAUACCACGGGAUUCUCACAGCAGAGGACUAGGACAAAAGUGGACACCCGUGGUUCUGAUUUUCUACGAGUUUUUGAGUGAAAAGGUCACGUGUACAUGAUGAUGCCUCUGUUUGCACCUGGCAUGUGAGAACGGGACCCUCCCAUUUUUAUGAAUGUUUGUGAAUUUUUUGUCCUUUCGAUGUUGAUUUGUUUUUCUUGGAGUUAUGUACUUGAUUACUUGGAUAGCUUUUGAACACGAAAAAUAAUUUUUUUUAACAGAAAAACAGUGGAAUUUAAGAAAUAAAAAGAGGAAAAAAGGCUUAAUUUGUAUUCAGAAACUCUAAUUUCAGAAGUACUUUUUGUUUGGCUUAAACUUAAAAAAAAAUAUCAAGCUAAAUUUGUCUUAAUACUUAGAAAUGUUUUCACUAGAAAGUGAUGGAAAAUUAAUUAGUACAAAGAGAAUUAAACAUUUACUCCAGCAUGGGAAAACAACAACUCGUCGUUAAUGAUCGAAUUCUUUGACUAUGGAAUAACAAUUAUAUCUUCUUCAUAAAUACCCAUCACUUGUCGAAUUUCAUAAUUCAUACAUUUAAUAUUUAUACUUAUUGAUAUUUGUUAAAAUAGUUUAGUUGGACUCCAAAACUGCAGUGAUGUUAGAACAGCAAAAGGAAUAACUAAAUAAGCUUGAUGUGUGAUUUAAUCUUGGUAGAGGUUUUUGUUUUAAUAGGUAAAAAGGCACCAUAUGCACCCGUGAGUGCAUAUAAAAGGAUAAAAUAUUACUCAUGCAAAUGUAAUAAUUGAAAACAGGGAAUACACUUUACACCUUAAAGUUUCCUUUACUUAUCUCAGACUAUGCAUUUCUUUACUAAUCUCAUAUAAUUCAAUUUGUUAGUGAACAAAAAAAAAAAAAAAUUGUUAUGAGUCACAAGUAAUCACCUUUAAAAAAAUAUUAUAUUGCACAAACUUUUUUUUUUCUAAUACGCAUUCUGGUAAUUAAAUGCAGUAAGCUCAAAUUAAUUUGUUAUAGCCUGAUAAGUUUACUUGAUAAAUUCUUUUAAAUCAUAUUUUUACAAAAAAAAUAAUAAGAAAAGAAAUAAGGACUUUGGAGUCCAUAGCUGACAACUAAAUGCAGUACCUUAUGUUAGGAUCAUCAGUGCCCUCAUGUGAUCUGAUCUGUCAUUCAUAAUCUGUGUGUAUAAAAGUCAAGCUUGGUGAUGUAACAGGAUAUUUGUGAAUGCCCAUAUUUAUGAUACUUAGAUUUUGUGGUGAAUCUCCUUGAUAAACUAAGACAAAUAUGAUGGAUGAUCGGUCAGGAUUUGAGUUGAGCUUAAGCACAUAAUAACCUACAAGUUUAAACCUAAUAUGUGUUGAAGUAUCAUUAGAUUAAACCUACCAAUAGAUUAACUUGUGGUUUACAAAAGUUUUGCAUGCUUAUCAAAUGUAAAUUGGUUACAGCUCUUUACGCUUGAGAAAAAUUAAUGAACUCCAUUACUUUUUUUGAUCCAAGAUUGUUUAAAUUUUUUAAAUAUGAUAGAUGAAACUUAAAAAUUAAACUCAAGAUUUGUCUAAUUGGUGUCCAUAUAUUAUGUGUUAAAAGGAGUUUGAAGUGUUAGACCUUGCUGGGAGAAAGUUAAUUUGGGUGGCAAAGGAGGAGGGAUUAUAAGUAGAAAGUCAGAUUUACCAAAAAAAAAGUUCGACUCUAUCUGAUACAAGCAUUAAGACUUGUUUAAUAACUCAAUUCAGUAUUAAAUUUGAUAGUUACUAUGUUAAAAUGCGUUUGAUAAGAGGUUCUGAAUUGCCUAGACCAAACUUAUUCAAUAUAUAUAUAUAUGUAUAUGUAAUAAGAUAGUCAUUAUCACUUAAUGCAAAAUAUACUCAAAUGUUAAGAUUUUAUAGUAAUAGUUCAAUAAUUUAAUAGAUUCAGAUUUCAGCUUUUAAAUUUUAAAUUUCAAUUUUCAGUUUUAUCAGAUGUACCCUUAAUUUUUUAAAAAAAAUUAAAUAAAAUGAUUCUAAAUAUAAAGGGUAAUAAAUGUGCAAAUAUGCGUAUACAAAUUGUAAGUUAAUAAGUGCAAACCGAAUGCCUUAUUGGGCGUGUUAUAGAAUUUUUCAACAUCUCAAUCAUAGAUUUUGAUAUUGUUGUCCACAAGAAGUUAAUAGGAGGAGUGAGGAUAACAUUUUGAGGAGCCACGUGCGCUCGGUUUCAUGGAGCAUCUAUCGUCGGUGACUUGCUAGAGAAAGAACAUCGUAGGAAGUUUCUUGAGCGAGUACUUUGUCGAACAGAAUUACUUGCAAUCAAUUGCCUGACCCAAAACCCUUUGCUGUCCCACUGAUGUGCUUGGAAUCAAUCAAUUAUUCGUCCUGCGCUCCCUCCCUCGUCCAAACCCGUCCCCGCCCUCCUCCCCGUUCCACUUCCCCUUUUCUGUAAGAAUGACCGCGUCCAAUAAAAUAUAGGCAUAAAAAAAAUUUCGUGGAUUAAUUCCCAAGAUGAACUCUUAGAGCUUGUAAUUUUAAGUUUGCACUAAAAAUAUAUAUAUAGAGUAACUUUUAUGUAAAUUGUUACUGUGUAUUCUAUCACGAUUGGAUGUAUGACACAUGAAUAAAUUUUAAAUUUCAAAUUCAAAUUUUGCAUAUGUAUCAUAUAUCUAAUGGUGAUAGUGUAUAUACUAACAGUGUAUACAAAAUUAAUCCAUAUAUGUAUAUAAUAUAUACAUAUAUGAAUUACUAUUUUAUAUACUGACAUUGUAUACACUUUCACCAUUAGAUGUAUGACACAUAAUUUAAAUUUAAAUUUAAAACCCAAAUGUUACAUAUAUGUCAUACAUCAAACCGGCCCCCACGGGGUAGCUCGGACGGUGCGCUCCCCCUCUUUAGGGUAUGACCACUUACCUGGCAACCAGGGUUCGAGUCUCGUGGCUUACGUCUUCGGUGUGGAGUGGGGCCUCCUCUCCCGGAGCGCAGGGGGAUUAGUCGGGUCCCGUAAGGAUUGACCCGGACACCCCCUGUGUCGACAAAAAAAAAAAAAAAAAAAAUCAUACAUCAAACCGUGAUAAUAUAUACACUGUCAAUAUAUAUAAGAUUUAUUCUUUAUAUAUAAAUAUAUAUAGGCAAAAUGUAAAUGAAUUAAUACGCCGACAUAUAUACGUGACAAUGACUCCAUUAGCGCCAUUAGUAAUACAUAAAUUCUCCAUACUGUUCUGUGAUAACCAUGUGAUUUUGUGUGAAUUAUGUCGAUUUCACCGACACUUUUAGUAAUUGGGCCAAGUUUGCAUAUAUUUGGGACUUUAAGGUGAAAAUUUUAAAUUGUAACCCUUAGACUUUAGAGUGCAAAGAGAGAAUAUCAAAAGUUAGGAGGGGCAAUAUUUGCCUGGCCUUGUAGUUUAGAUUUCAGGCUCUUUGAACUUGGUUAAAAGACAAAUCAAGUUACUCAAUAUUCAAUCGAGUUCUUUAAAGUUUAGCUCACUAAGUAAUUAAGCUAAAUAUGAACGAGAUUUAGCCUUUCUUAGAAUUUCAAAUUUAAUAAACACAGUGGCAAUAUGUAAAACAUCUCAAAUUUCAAAUUCUUUGAGUUCAACUUCACCAAAAUUUCUCAAAUUGAAAUAAAAAAUUUAAAUUAUUGAAGCUCAAUUUAACUUCAACUCAAUAAAAGUUUAUUCUAGUUUGGCUUUAAAAAAAUUCAAAAACCUAAUUUGCAACACAACUUCAAACUUAUUAAAGUAAAUAAACAAACUUAGACAGUUUAUUGUUCGUGCUCAUUAGAUCAUUUACGCUACUAUCUUUGGACUUGACACAUUACUUAUUAGAAGAUCUUUAUCCAAAUAAUUUUUGCUCUUUUUUUAAAAAAAUUAUUUGAGGUUGGAAUGCAUAAGAUAAUCCAAAAAAAAAAAAGUAAUUCAACAAGUUUGCUGUUUUCCAACCAGAAAAAAAAUUCUGCUCAGUCAUUUAAUUCAUUCUUACCUAAAACAAAGGGGCAGAAAAAAAACCUUCAAAACUAUACCAUAGUUGUGGGUAUUAAAAUCACAUCGGGGCAUAUUUUGAUGAUUUCUUUUUUUUUUUUUUGUUUCUUUUAACUUCUUUAGAGGCGGCCAAGGCCCAUCUAUUGUUUUUGUAACUUGCUGCUGACUAAGGCCCAUCAAGUCUGACAACCUUUUCUAUUAUUGGAUUUGGUCAAACAUAUAUGCUUGCAUGUAAUCUGUUGCAGCAGAACCAGUUACAUGAUUCAUUGGGAAUUCGGAAUGUCAUGGUAUUCUGGACUUGGAUGGUUUGAACAUGUUGGAGAAUAACACAAGAAGCCCAUUUGUAAAAUCAAUGAGGAGCUCCAAAGAAAGUACCUUCUUGACUUACCCAAACGAAAAGAUUUCGGCUCCAUACAGGGCUAUAUUUGGAAAACUAUAGUGUAGCUGUUUUUAAAAAAUAGAUGAUGUUGUUUGGAUUGUUGUAUAUGAAAAAUUAAGGGUGCGUUUGAUAAAAUUGAAGUCUGAAAUUUGAAUCCAUUAAAUUAUUGAAUUAUUAAAUAUUAAAUUUAAUAUAUUUGAGUGCAUAUCACAUUCAGUAAUAAAUGAAUAACUUAUCAUUUAAUUUUGAGAGCAAGUUUUAUCUAAAAAAUUUAGUGUCACUUAAUUAAUUUAAAUGUUCAAUUUUUAGUUAUCAAACGGUUUGAAUAUGUUAAAGUUUGAAUAUAUUAAAUUUAAGUACUACGCUGGAUUAUUAAACAAGCCUUAAAGCUCCAUAUGUUUGCAAUUAUUUUGGAAUACUGUUUUUGUCUUUUAAAAACAGAGUUUUUGGCUAAAAUAAUCUACAAUACAGUAUUCCAAAAUAAUUGCCAACAUCAUAUUCAUGUACCUUUGAUCUUAAAUCUACUAUAAAUAGGGGUGAAUCCUACUUCAUUUGUAACCUGGAAGAACUUUGAUCGGUGAAUAUAAUAAUACUAUAGUCCUUUUUUCUCUCUCCCCGCGUCUCAGUCUACUAUUCCAAUCCCUACAUUAGUAAUUUAUAUUAUUAGUUUCACAAUACGUUAUCAACACGAGUUUCUACUUUGAGAAGGAAAAGCGCGAAUAUCUAAUUUUUGAGCAAAAGUGAAGCAUGAGACGCUGUCAAGGUUCUGACCAAACAGCUUUUGACUACUUAUUAAGAAGAAAUGAAUGCCAAACAUUUGGGACUAUAUAAUGGUGAUGAUAACAUUUGUCUCAUUGAUAGUGCUAUUACGCACACUAUAUUGAAAAAUAAAAGAUAUUUUUCUUCUUUGGAGAUGGGAGAGCCAAAUGUUAAUAUUAUCAGUGGUAGUGCAAAAUUAAUUGAGAGCUCAGGAAGAGCCACUCUAUUUCUCCCUAAAUGAACAAAAAUUGUAAUAAAUAAUGCACUACUCUCUCCCAAGUCUCGAAGAAAUUUAUUGAGUUUUAGAGAUAUCCGCCAAAAUGGAUAUCACAUUGAGACAAUGAAUGAGACAAAUGAUGAAUUUUUAUUAAUUACAAAUACCAUUUCUGGGGAAAAAUGUGUAUUAGAAAAAUUACCUUCACUUUCUUCUGACUUAUAUUAUGCACAAAUAAGUGCUGUUGAAAUUCAUCACCUAGCAAACCAGAAGUUUACUCAUCCCAAUGAUUUUAUGAUUUGGCAUGAUCGUCUCGGACAUCCUGGAUCUAUAAUAAUGAGACAAAUAAUUGAGAAUUCACAUGGCCACUCAUUGAGAAAUCAAAAGGUAUUAAAAUCAAAUGAAUUCUCCUAUGUUUUUUGUUCUCAAAGAAAAUUAACUGUUAGACCAUCACCGGGUAAAGUUGGGACUAAAUCUCUCACAUUUCUAGAACGAAUUCAUGGUGAUAUAUGUGGACCUGUAAAUCCCCCAUGUGGACCAUUUCGAUAUUUUAUGGUGCUAAUUGAUGUAUCAACUAAAUGGUCACAUGUAUGUUUGUUAUCUACUCGCAAUCUAUCGUUUGCGAGAUUACUUGCUCAAAUAAUUAAAUUACGAGCACAGUUUCAUGAUUAUUCAAUUAAAAGAAUUCGUCUAGAUAAUGCUGGUGAAUAUUCGUCACAUGCUUUUGACGAGUAUUGCAUGUCCAUUGGAAUAAUUGUUGAACAUCCUAUAGCCUAUGUUCACACAAAAAAUAGUCUAACCGAGUCAUUUAUUAAAAGGCUACAACUAAUUGCUAGACCAUUGUUGAUGAGAUCUAAACUUCCUUUAUCUGAUUGGAGACAUGUUAUAUUACAUGCAGCAACACUUGUGAGAAUUAAGCCGACUAGUUAUCAUAAUUAUUCUCCCCUACAAUUAGUAUUUAGUUCUGAACCCAAUAUUUCUCAUUUACGAAUAUUUGGUUGUGCGGUUUAUGUUCCUAUUGCACCACUCCAAUGUCGUAAAUUGGGCCCUCAAAGAAAAUUGAGAAUAUAUGUCGGGUAUGAAUCACCUUCUAUAGUUAAGUUUAUUGAGCCAUUGACAGGUGAUUUAUUUACUGUAAGAUUUGUAGAUUGUCAUUUGAUGAAUCACAUUUCCUGACAUUAGGGGGAGGAAAAGAUCAACCGAAAAAGAAAAUCCCGAUAAAGGAAAUCAUUUGAAAAAUUUCAUUGGAUUUCCUGGAUCCUUGUACCAAAGAAUGUGAAUUAGAAGUUCAAAGGAUCAUACAUUUGCAAAAUAUUGCAAAUCGAUUGCCGGAUGCAUUUAAUGACUCCAAAAGAGUCAUCAAAUCACAUAAUCCUGCUGAAAAUGCUCCGAUUAAAAUAAAUGUCCCUGAAGGACAAAUCACAAGUGCUAAUGAAUCUAUAGUACGCCUGAACCAUGGGAGACCUCUUGGUUCCAAAGAUAAAAAUUUUAGAAAAAAAAGAGGAUCAAAUGAAUCAAUAAUUAGUGACAAAAUUCAACCUCCUGAAGAGGUAACUUCCGAAGAGCCAACUCUUGAAGAGAAUGAAAUUAUAGAAAAUUCAAUAAAGUUUGUCACUACAAAAAAAAGUUGGUAUCGAAGAGAAAUAAUUGUUGAUAGUACUUCUGCAUAUAAUGUAGCACUUGAUAUUAUGAUAGAUGACGAGAAUCAUGAGCGUAGAUCGGUUGAUGAAUGUCGGCAUAUAAAUGAUUGGCUAAAAUGGAAAGAUGCAAUACAAUCUGAAUUAGAUUCACUGAUUAAAAGAAAAGUUUUUGGACAUGUAGUCCAAACACCUGAAGAUGUAAAGCCUAUUGGAUAUAAAUGGGUGUUUGUGAGGAAAAGGAAUGAAAAGAAUGAAAUUGUGAGAUAUAAAGCAAGACUUGUAGCCCAAGGUUUUUCACAAAAGUCUGGAUUUGAUUAUGAUGAAACGUAUUCACCUGUAGUGGAUACGAUCACAUUUAGGUAUCUUGUGAGUUUUGCAAUGCAUGAAAAACUAGAUAUGCAUCUGAUGGACGUUGUCAUUGCUUAUUUGUAUGAAAAUCUUGAAAAUGAUAUUUACAUGAGAAUCCCUGAAGGAUUCAACAUACCUAAAGCAUGUAAAUCAAAUCCUAGAGAUAUGUAUUUUAUUAAAUUAUAAAGGUCUUUGUCUGGGUUUAACCAAUCUGGACGUAUGUGGUAUAACCGCCUUAAUGAAUGAUUAACUAAAGAAGGUUAUACCAAUGACCCAAUAUGUCCAUGUGUUUUUAUCAAGAAAAAUAGGUCAAAUUUUAUGAUAAUUGUUAUAUAUGUUGAUGAUCUCAAUUUGAUUGGAACUCCUGAAAAGAUCCAAAAGGCUGUCGAAUAUUUGAAGAAUGAAUUUGAGAUCAAAAAUUUUGAAAAGACAAAAUUCUACAUUGGUUUACAAAUUGAGCAUUUAGAAGGUGAAAUUUGUGUCCACCAAACUGCUUAUACCCAAAAGGUAUUAAAACCGUUCUGUAUGGAUAAAGUACAUACAUUAAAUACCCCAAUGGUCGUCAGAUCACUAGAUCCUAAUAACGAUCCAUUUAGGUCACGAGAGAAACAUGAAGAGAUACUUGGUCCUAAAGUACUAUAUCUCAAUGCAAUUGGUGCGCUAAUAUAUCUUGCUAAUUGUACAAGACCAGAUAUAUCAUUUGUUGUUAAUAUAUUAGCAAGAUUUAGUUCCUCGCCUACAAGAAGACAUUGGAAUGGUAUUAAACACAUUUUUCGCUAGUUCCAAGGAACAAUUGAUCUUGGUUUGUUUUAUUCAAAUAAAUCCAAACCUAAGUUGCUUGGAUAUGCUGAUACUGGGUAUUUAUCUGACCCACAUAAAGCAUGACCUCAGACUGGCUAUCUCUUUACUUGUGACGGUACAGCCAUUUCUUGGCGUUCUACAACACAAUCCUUAACUGCCACUUCAUCAAAUCAUGCUGAAAUAAUAGCAAUUCAUGAAGCCAGUCGAGAAUGCGUUUGGUUAAGAUCAAUGACCCACUACAUCCGGAAGAGUUGUGGGUUAUCCUCCUAGAAGGAAAAUCCUCCAACAAUUUUAUAUGAAGAUAAUACAGUUUGUAUAGCUCAAUUAAAAGGAGGAUAUAUUCAAGGAGAUAGGACGAAACAAAUUUCACCGAAUUUCUUAUUUACUCAUGAUUUGCAGAAGAAUUGUGAGAUUGACGUGCUACUAAUCCGAUCAGAUAAUAAUUUCGCAGAUUUUUUACCAAGGCACUGCCGACUGCUACAUUUGAGAAACUAGUGAAGAAUAUUGGAAUGCGUUGGCUAAAAGAUCUCAAAUAAUGUUUGCAUCAAGGGGAGAUAUUAUUACACAAGAAUACUGUAUUCUUUUUCCUUCACUAGGGUUUUUAUCCCACUGGAUUUUUCCCUAGUAAAGUUUUAACGAGGCAUAUUCUUUGUGUAAUGGACAUCCAAAGGGGAGUGUUAUGAAAUAAUUAUAAGAUGUGGAUGUCCGUUUAUAUUCUCAAGAACGAAGAUACAUGUAUUCUCUCUAGGUUCAUUGGUACAUUGGAUGAACCCAUUUAUGGAUGUACUUAAGGUACUAAAUUAAUGUAUUAGUAUUUAAUUGGGUUCAUGUACCUUUGAUCUUGGAUCUACUAUAAAUAGGGGUGAAUCCUAUUUCAUUUGUAACCUGGAAGAACUUUGAUCAGUAAAUAUUAUAAUACUAUAGUUCUUUAUUCUCUCUCCUCGCUUCGCACUUUACUAUUCCAAUCCAUACGUUAGUAAUUUAUAUUAUUAGUUUCACAAUAAAUAAUGUUGUAGUCUUCACAACUAUGUAAAAGUUGUAAGAAAAUUAAACCAAGUUCAUGUAUUAUAUAAGUGACACGUGUCUUAUUUCUAUUUAUUAAGAUAAGUUUCAUUGUUUGUUUUGUGAUUGUGGUCACAUGGGAUUAAAUACUAUGACUAGUUCCUUCAAAAAAAAAAAGCUAUGAUGUUAUGAAACUAAUGCUAAUAUGAUAUAGGAUUUGAGUUAUUUAUAUGGUUGGCAAUAUGCUAAGAAAUACAAGAAAAUUAAAGAACUCAAGAGAAGAGAAAAGUAAGAAAAGAACUAUUUUUUCAUUUACUCAAAUGAAACUUCAGUUUUCUAUACAAUAGAGGAUUAACCAUUAUUUAUGGGGGGAAAGUACAACAGUUAACUUCUUCUUCUUCAAGAUGGUGAUACAAUCUUCUUAUAAGACAUGAUAGCUUUAUCGACAGUCGUGCAGCUUUAUCGAAAAUUGUAAUAGCCUUAUUAAAAGUCAUGUCACCUCUAUCAUUUCAAAAGUUAUGAGAGCUUUUUCACUUCGAAAAAUGUGAAAGACUUGUCACUAUUUAGGAGAUGAGAUAAACGUGAUAGAUAUCCACAAUAUUUAAUUAUUUCAUAACAUAUGACUAGUAAUAGUAACACUCACAGACCUGGGCAGACAAAUCCACAUGGGCUUUAUGAAGUUAGUGGCCUCUAUUUCAAAAAUCCAACUUAUAGUUAGUAGGUACAUUAGUCAAGUGAUUAUGCGGUUCUUAAUUUGAAUUUUAAAUCCUUCAUUUUCUUUGCCUUUAAGAUUUGAAGUCUUCCUCUCAAUUUAAAAAAAAAAAAAUCAGCAGCUUCUGUCAGUUUCAUUUAUUUUUGUACAUCACAAUAGAUGCAGCACUCUUUGGAUCUAUCAGUAGAUGCAGAGUACAAUAGUUUAAUAAGUGACUAUCACACUUUCUUUCAAUAUUUGACACAAAGACCAGGUACAGAGAAAUCAUUUACGUUAUGAAUUAAUUUUAUAUACAUGAAUAGUAUAUAUAUUUCACCCUUAAAUAUAUGUCACUUAAUUUGAAUUUGAAUUUAAAUAUCACUUUUUGUAUAUAUGAAAUGUAUCAAAGGAUGAUAAUCUAUGCACUAUAUACACAAGAUAAACUAGUUUGUUAUAAGUAACUCAAAGUCAUAGUAUUUCCGGAUAGUUCAAUAAAUUGUGGACUAUAUGGUAAAUUCAAUCCAACUUAAAUAUUUCAUUUGCUACUCAAGCACAAUUGCAACCUUAGUAAUAAAUUGAGAAAUUGAAAAAGUAUUCUUAACAAAACAAUUUCUUUUUCUUUUUCUUUUUUUUUUUUUGCAACCAAAGGGCUCCUUUUGGAUUUCUCAUUUUUUGAAAAACAAAUUUUUUAUAUACAAUAUUACAGUAACAUACAAACAAAAACAACUCAAAAAACACUAUAUCCAUACAAUAUAUCAAAAAUAAUUUCAAGUAUAUAAAAAAAAUUUUACAUUAUUUUCUUUUUCCAUCUAUCAUCACCACCUACCACCACUGCCGCCACCAUCCCCUCUUUCUCCUCUUUCCUCCCCCUCCUUCUUUCCCCUCCCUCUCUCUUCCUCCUCCCUUCCCCUUCCCCUCCCCUUUCCCACCACACCCCACCCCUCUCCUUCCCCCACAAAUCUGGCCUCGACCAGAGGUUGCGAUCUAGUCGGGAUGUCGUGACCAGAGGCCUUGGUUGGUUUUCAGCUAGAUGGGAGGGGGGGAAGGGUAGGGAUGAGGUGUGGCGGAAAAAGGGAGGAGGGGAGAAAAGAAAGGGAGAAGAAGGAUGGGAAGAGAAGGAAGAAAGAGAGGGCGGAGAAAGGAUGGGGUGGCAGUGGUGGUGGUGGCGGUGGUAAUUUUAAAAAAUAUCACGAAAAUUUUAAACUUUAAAAAUAUCUUAAAAUAUAUCCAAAAAAUACCUCAAAUAACAUCACGAAAAACAUCUACAAUAAAAAAAUUUUCAUAUACAUUGCUAAAGUAAGGCUCUGUUUGGAUUCUCCAUUUUUUGAACAACAAGUUUUUCAUAUAUAAUGCUAUAGUAAUACACAAACAAAAACAAAUAAAAAAAAAUCACAUCCACACAAUAUAUUAAAAACAGCUCCAAAUAUACAAAAAAAUUAAAAAAUUAAAUAUACACCAUUUUCUUUUUCCCAUCUAUCACUCCCAUCCACUAUCACCGCUGUCCACCACCACUGCCACCACUCCCUCCUUCCUCCUGUCUCUUCUCCCUCCCUCUUUUUCCUCCUCUCUUCCUUCUCCUCCUCCCCUUCCCAUUUCCCGCCACAACUUUGUUCCUCUCCGAGAUUCUCCCCCCGCGACACCUUGGGAAGGGGGAGGAGGGGAGAGGCAAGGUUGUGGUGGAAAAGGGAAGGGGAAAGGAGGAAGGAGGAGAAGGAAGAAGGAGGAUGAAGGAAGAAGAAUGGGGGGGAGGAGGAAGGAAAGGGAGGGGGAAGAGAGAGGAGGAGGGAGUGGGUGGCGACGGUGAUGGGUAGCGGUGGUGAGUGGUAGUAUUAAUUUUUAAAAAAAUAUACUAAAAAGUUUUUAAACUUUAAAAAUACCCCAAAAUAUAUUUCAAAAAUACCUUUAAAAACACCACAAAAAAAUCUACAAUAAAAGUUUUUCAUAUAUAUUACUACAGUAAAAUAUUUUAAAAACACCUCUAAAAACAACCAAUUCAAACGAAGCCAUUGUUUGUUAAAGGAUAUCUAGCAUCCUACUUACUCUAGUAUGUAAUUUCUGAUGGAAUAAAAGGACUUGAUUAAAUUAAGCAUUUAAAACAUAUUUUUAGUAUAUUCAUAAAAAAAGGAUUGGAGGUUGGAAGCAAUUUUCAUAUUAAGUAUACAUUUUUUGAGCUAUAUUCCAUAUACUAAGAAGCAUACACAAGUCAAUUAACAGUGCGUUUGAUAAAAUUAAAGUUUGAAAAUUGAAAUUUAAAAUCUAAAGUUUGAAGUUUGAAUUCAUUAAGUUAUUAAAUAGUUAACUAUUAAAUUUGAUACAUUUGAGGGUAUGUCAUAUUAAGUGGAUAAGUGAAUAGGCUAUCACUUAUUUUUUGAACCAAGUUUUACUUAGAAAUUUUAGUAUCACUUAAUUAAUUCAAAUGUUCUAUUUUUGGUUAUCAAAUGCAACUAAACAUUUUAAGAUCUAAAUUCAUUAAGUUUAAGUGCUAAAUUGAGUUAUAAAAUAGGUAAUCUUUUUCCUUUCAUUUAUUUUCCAUCUUCAAUCCAAACAAAAAUUCAGUAUUUCCUUAAUUUUCCUUCCAUGUUUAAUCCAAACAAAAUGGGUAGAAACCAUAGUUAUUAAACCCGGGGAGGAACCCGGUGAAAGAGGUGGGUGAACGGUUUACUGGUUCAACCAAUGAGUGAAUGAUUCAACCGGUGGGUCAUUAAAUAUAUUUAAAUAUUAUGUCUCAUAAUUUUUUAUGCCAUAAUAAAUAUUUGGUUAGUCUAAUUUAUCAUAGAAUCAUUAAUUGUUAUAAGAAUUAACAACCUAAAUUUAAUUAGUAAUCCACCAAAUUUCAAGUAUAAAAUUUUAUCUAAGUGUAAUUAUCUAGUUUAUUUAUGAACUUUAAGUGUAAAAGUUUAUUAAGAAUGAUAUUUGCCUUUAAAAUAAAUUGUGUAAUAUGUUUUUUUUUUUAAGUCAAUUUCAUAAUUUAUAGAGUUUGGGGAAUAAUAAAAUGUUAUUAAAAGAUUCCAAAUAAAUUUUGUUUUGGAGAAAUAAAAUAAGAAUUAAAGUUUAAUAUAUAAUAUAAGAAGGACAAAAUAAUCAACAAAUGGGUGGUUAGCCCAGCGGUGAUUGUAUUUUACUUUUGUGCAUGAGGUCCCGUAUUCGAAUUUUCAUUUUAACAUCUUCACAAAAUUUUUCCCUUGACAACAUGUAGACCGAGUUCCUCAUAAAACUGGCCAAUUCACCGGAUUGACCAGUUGAACCGCCAGUCCGUUAAAAAGUUAAAGGUUUCAAUACAUAAACGAUCUAAUUGACAACUCGAUCCGGCUCAAUUGCCGGUUCAUUGGGUUGACCGAUUGAAUAGUCGGGCCGGGCCGAGUUUAAUAACAAUGGUAGAAACAACUUUCAUCUAAAGCUCUACUCUCUUUCAACCCAAACCAUGCCUUAAAUACUCCAGCCCACAAGGAUUUGCCAUGUAAUUUUAGAAAUCUCGUUAUAUUGAUUUGUACACCCAAUCCAUCGCUCAAAAUUUAAAUAAAGAAGACAAAAUAGCUUUACAUUGUAAAAAACCAAUUUCAAAUUAUCCUAUCGGUAAAAUAUAUAUUUUUUUGUGUAGAAAUGCUAAUAUAAAAUUUCUUUUUUACGUAUAAUUCACUGUGAAGAUAAUCAAAUGCACAAGAAUUGAUCUAGUGUACAGGAGACAACAAGGUACCUUUGCUUGAAUUCUUUUUGCUGGAAAACCGCAAACUCUUGUAACCUAUUUGAUGAAAGAACUGAGGAAAAGAAAGGAAGCAUGGAGAAUUCACUAUUUUUUUUUAAAAUAUUUUUUGGUGGGUUACAUUAUUUUAUGUGCUGAGCGAUGAACAAGCCCCAUAAUUAUAGCGUGUGGAGUACGUGCCAAUGAGUUCUAUCUCUUCAAACUCUUUUAAUUGAGAACAUUGACUAUGAUGGAAUGGGUAACAUGUUUUCUAUUAUAUAAUGGGGUGUAACAUUCAUAUUACACACUUUAAUACGUUGACAUAUAUUCUUUUUAGAUUAUCAUAAUUAUACUCCUAAUUAAAUUAAACUCUUGGAAAGGACACAUGUCAAUAUAUCACAGCGCACGUUAAACAUUAAUAUGUAACAGAAGACCCAUGGCCGACAUUAAAUCUUUUUUUUGGGGGGGGGGGGGGGUUUGAGCACCAAUUGCAUAACUUGUCUCCUUGACUUCAUGCAAAAUAGAUGGUGUAUCCAAUUUUGUUCUUUUAAUCUAUGGAACACUUAGCAAACUAGUUUUUAACAUCGAACAACAAAGAUAUUUAAAUCUAGCUUUCCAAUCAUCAGAGACAAAUGUGACACUUAUUUUUUUUCUUGAUUCUUCUUCAAUUUUGUUUCCCUAUAAUAAGUUUUUCAAAAAUUAGUUUGGAUCCUUCUAUUUUUCAAAAAUUAGUUUUUCAAAUAUUAUAAAAAAUUUUAAAAAGUAUUCUAAAAGGUACUAUAAAAAGUAGUCUAAAUUUUUUUUAAUGUUUAAAAAAUAUCCCAAAAUAUAUUUUAAAAACUCUACUACUCUUAAAUAUUUCAAAAUAUUUUCUAAAAAUAUCCCAAAAUAUACUCUAAAAACUCUGCUACAGUAAAAAAUUUUAAAAAUAUCCUAAAAAACAGUUAAUCCAAACGGAGCCCGAGCUUUCGUCAAUAACCAGAUCCAAGCAGUAGAAAAAGCCUGUUUGAUUUUAAUAAUAAGAGCUUUCAUCAACCACCAAACCAAAGCAACAAAGAAACCCUGUUUGGAUUGAUCCAUAAGAGUCACGCGAACAAGAACCUUCCCAAUCACAUUCAUUAGAAGCACUUAAAAGGGUUGCAUAUUAUUUACACCUCAUUUGCACAUAUUGACUUCCUUGCAUAAUCAACACAUUUUUUAACCAUUUUUUUAUCUCACGUAUGUAUGUUACAAAAAUUAUCUCAAAAAUCUCCUAUCCAAACACACAUAGAUGUGCUAGUUCUAUGUUCUCAUAUAUUGCUUAAACGUAGAUACAUAUACAUAUUAUGGUCCCACCUUUUCUACUGCCUAUAAUGUAUAUACUAGAGGACCUCCAAGAUCAAAAGUAUUACAAAUCAGUGGCAGAUUGAAGACCAUACAAGUACGAGGGCAGUAAUCACUUCGCUCAAUAAUAUGUAGCUUCAAUUUUUAUUAUUAUCAUACAAAAGAAAAAUUAGACAAAGGUUAUAUUAAUUUGAUUGUGCUUUAUUUCAAAAUUCUUCAAUUUCUUUUUUGUUAAAGUUGCAAUUUUUACUUUUGAAAAAAAGCAUAAUGAAACUUUUUUAAAAAAUAUUUUUUGAGGGGGGCCAAAUGAAAGUAAGAGGAAAUUUUACAAAACUUGGGAGGUGCAAAUGUGGGAUAAAUUGGAAAAUCUUAGAAACUUGUAAGUCUAAUUUUUUAGUUUUGAAGGCUGUUUUUCCCUUUUGGGGUGGGGUAGGGGAAGGCAAUCGCCCACAUUCACAUACAUGUGGCUCCGCCAGUACCGUUUGGGACUAAUUUUUUUAAGUGGGCAAUGAGAUGAUUAAAGCUACAUGAAAGCAAAACAAAAAAUGAUAUGCAGAAAGGAAGACGAACGAAAAUGGAGCUAGGGGUGGAGCUAAACAUAAGCAAUGUAUCAUUUGUUGUCUAUGCGGGAUGACAAAUAUGUAAAACAUAACAAGAAGGUUCGUUCUGGUCAUCUCUUACACAUUUUGACAAACAUGUAGCAUGCAUCCCAGUCAUCUAAAAUUUACCCAUAAACAGAAUUCGUGCUUGUUCCCUAGGUUAAGGCUAUCAAAAUCACCAAUAUCCAACAGAAGCCAAAAAGGAGUAUUCCUAUCAAGAUUCCUCUUCUGGACUCGAACACGGUACAUGAAUAUUUGUCAGGGGGCAUCACAAUAUGAUUGGAGUUGACUCAGAACCCCACGUCAUUCUAGCAUUUCUACUUAGGAACCAUGUCAGUUCACCUGCAGUUAUCAGGUUUGUGUCUGCAAGAAAAUCUGACAUGAUGAUCAAAUGUUCACGGGCCAAGUGCCAAAAUGCAACAAAAAUCCAAUUUUCAUCGCAAUUUAAGUAUAGAAUCUUAAUUUUAGGAGUUCUUGAAUUACAAAACUGAAAGCAAAUAAAUGGUCACAUUCAAACGUACAUUACAGCAAGACUCAUCCAAGACUUCAAAAACAAGGCAACAAGAUGAAGAGGUGAAAACUUGACCUUUCAACAAAAGGAAAUACAUGACUCUAGAUUUGAUCCAGCUGAGUUACCUAGCACAAACAUAAUACCUUUGAUCACCUUGUUUCUCAGUACUAGAUUGGCCAAGAGACCUGUGGCCUUGUGUUCAUCACAGAUAAACUUUGCUCAAAGGAGUAUUUGAGUAAAGUCAAAAGGCACUGAAACAAAGCAAUGCAAAGAGCUUAUGC
RNAcentral lists this long non-coding RNA (26261 nucleotides) under Coffea arabica (coffee). RNAcentral describes it as "long non-coding RNA (CARA_LNC006820)". The record is from RNAcentral. Lineage: Eukaryota; Viridiplantae; Streptophyta; Magnoliopsida; Gentianales; Rubiaceae.